RNAcentral lists this ribosomal RNA (460 nucleotides) under uncultured bacterium. RNAcentral's name for it is "partial 16S ribosomal RNA". It matches the Rfam family "Bacterial small subunit ribosomal RNA", at positions 338 to 795 of the family's 1533-position model. The record is from RNAcentral.
CCUACGGGUGGCAGCAGUGAGGAAUAUUGGUCAAUGGGCGGAAGCCUGAACCAGCCAAGUAGCGUGCAGGAUGACGGCCCUACGGGUUGUAAACUGCUUUUAUACGGGAAUAACGCGCCUUACGUGUAGGGCUUUGCAUGUACCGUAUGAAUAAGGACCGGCUAAUUCCGUGCCAGCAGCCGCGGUAAUACGGAAGGUCCGGGCGUUAUCCGGAUUUAUUGGGUUUAAAGGGAGCGUAGGUGGAUUGUUAAGUCAGUUGUGAAAGUUUGCGGCUCAACCGUAAAAUUGCAGUUGAAACUGGCAGUCUAGAGUACAGUAGAGGUGGGCGGAAUUCGUGGUGUAGCGGUGAAAUGCUUAGAUAUCACGAAGAACUCCGAUUGCGAAGGCAGUUCACUGGACUGCAACUGACACUGAGGCUCGAAAGUGUGGGUAUCAAACAGGAUUAGAUACCCCAGUAGUC